GUGUGGAGCGAACAGCGGACUCCGGCUUCGUUCGCGAAACCCCGCUGGAAUCCGGGAGAUGAAGCCGAAGCGGAACGUCAAGCAUCUCGAGGAGGUUCUGGUUAGCAGAUGUGAGAGCGACACGGGGGAGGGGUCUCGGGUCAGCGUCCCGCUCAGAGAUGGCCUCCUCUCGGGCCCCCCCAGCUGCAGGCAGGAAUCCUGAGAACUUGACCAGUCAUCGGUGGAGCUACGCGAAGCUCAGAGUGACAGGAAGCGGUGGUUUGGCAAAGCUGAGGUGUGUGUACAGGACACACUGUGGGCGCUUUGGGGAGACAGUGGACUAGAUCUCCGCCGGAUCCUAUACGGGUCCGAUCCUGCGGGACGUGGGGCGCCGUCCCCCGCUGCCCCCUCGCUGUCCGCUGCUGAACUGGAGUCCUUCUUGGAGCACCAUGUGGCUUUAGGAUGUGCGCUUGUAACCGGAAGGUGUUCGGUUCGAAUCCCACUCCCUCCGAAAACAAAAAGCUGCAGUUGGUGACCCGGACCGAGCGGCUCAGGGAGGCUGGCAAACCGCAGAGCGACCGCAGAGCGACCGCAGAGCGACCGCAGAGCGACCGCAGAGCGACCGCGGAGGCGCUCGGCGUGACCGGCUUCUCGGACGCGCCGACCCGGAAGUGGCGGAAGUAGGAAUCGCCGUCGCUCGCGUAGCCGGUGCCAGGAUUAGGAGGGCAGUCGUCACGUCCACAGGUGGCUGAAAGAACCGUUUGUCCAGCGAUACUGUGGACCGAUCAGCGAUCCAGGGAAAAAAGUUCAUUAUUGCUUUUUGUAUUUUGUUUUACAUUCCACUGACACCAUAAACAAUAAAGCGAGUGGGAAUUUUUACUGGGCCGUGUUUAUAUUUAUUCCCCGUUUCCGCUGACGUGCAACGUGAGAGGCGACGCCUCUGAGCGAGUUUUGUACAGGCAGACUUCGUUCGCUAUUCUUAUGAUUAAUUAAAAUAAUUAUCCAUCCAUGAUGCAAAUGAAACGCCGAAGAGCAGUGGAGGUUACAGAUCGUCCACUACAAGAGGCAGGUUAUGCCGUUGCCGCCGUUCGUCCGCUGUCCGUGAUCCCCGAGACGUGCGCGCGGGGGGUCUUUGGCCCCCGUCCGAGGAGCGCCAGAGCCGGCACCUUAGGCUCGCUGCAUCAGAGAGCUAAGAAGUUCCCCAGAACAAACAGACCCCCCCCCCCCAAGACGCAGUCACAAGAUGCAGCUUCGCCUGUGGAUGAAAGGAGCCCAUUGUGGGCCUCAUCGGUGGGGAGGUCGCCCAGGUCUCCCGAUGCGAGCGGACGGAGGGACUCGGUGACGCUGAGCCGUCGAGGGUCCGGCCCUCCUCCGCCUGAAGUGCGCAAGGGGUCCACGUGUACUUGCGCGAUGCCAUCAAACUCAUGCGUGCACCAGUAUGCGGUAGGUUCACAACCCAUCGCCAUUCUGGAGCAGCUCCUGCCUUGCGCUUCACGAACCUGGGCGCGAAGCCCUGCUCCCUCUAUAAUACCCCUGAGCGAGUUGCUUAUUAUCGAUCGCUAUUCAUCUGACGCCUUUGCCCGGUUUCCAAAUUGUUCUAAAUGCUCACGGUCUAAUUGA
Molecule: long non-coding RNA, 1599 nt
Organism: Scleropages formosus (Asian bonytongue)
Lineage: Eukaryota; Metazoa; Chordata; Actinopteri; Osteoglossiformes; Osteoglossidae
Source: Ensembl